GACGAACGCUGGCGGCGCGCCUAACACAUGCAAGUCGAACGAGCGAAGAGAAGCUUGCUUCUCUGAGCGAGUGGCGAACGGGUGAGUAACGCGUGAGGAACCUGCCUCAAAGAGGGGGACAACAGUUGGAAACGACUGCUAAUACCGCAUAAGCCCACGGGUCGGCAUCGACCAGAGGGAAAAGGAGCAAUCCGCUUUGAGAUGGCCUCGCGUCCGAUUAGCUAGUUGGUGAGGUAAUGGCCCACCAAGGCGACGAUCGGUAGCCGGACUGAGAGGUUGAACGGCCACAUUGGGACUGAGACACGGCCCAGACUCCUACGGGAGGCAGCAGUGGGGAAUAUUGCACAAUGGGGGAAACCCUGAUGCAGCGACGCCGCGUGGAGGAAGAAGGUCUUCGGAUUGUAAACUCCUGUUGUUGAGGAAGAUAAUGACGGUACUCAACAAGGAAGUGACGGCUAACUACGUGCCAGCAGCCGCGGUAAAACGUAGGUCACAAGCGUUGUCCGGAAUUACUGGGUGUAAAGGGAGCGCAGGCGGGAAGACAAGUUGGAAGUGAAAUCCAUGGGCUCAACCCAUGAACUGCUUUCAAAACUGUUUUUCUUGAGUAGUGCAGAGGUAGGCGGAAUUCCCGGUGUAGCGGUGGAAUGCGUAGAUAUCGGGAGGAACACCAGUGGCGAAGGCGGCCUACUGGGCACCAACUGACGCUGAGGCUCGAAAGUGUGGGUAGCAAACAGGAUUAGAUACCCUGGUAGUCCACACCGUAAACGAUGAUUACUAGGUGUUGGAGGAUUGACCCCUUCAGUGCCGCAGUUAACACAAUAAGUAAUCCACCUGGGGAGUACGACCGCAAGGUUGAAACUCAAAGGGAUUGACGGGGGCCCGCACAAGCAGUGGAGUAUGUGGUUUAAUUCGACGCAACGCGAAGAACCUUACCAAGUCUUGACAUCCUGCGACGGACAUAGAAAUAUGUCUUUCCUUCGGGACGCAGAGACAGGUGGUGCAUGGUUGUCGUCAGCUCGUGUCGUGAGAUGUUGGGUUAAGUCCCGCAACGAGCGCAACCCUUAUGGUCAGUUACUACGCAAGAGGACUCUGGCCAGACUGCCGUUGACAAAACGGAGGAAGGUGGGGAUGACGUCAAAUCAUCAUGCCCUUUAUGACUUGGGCUACACACGUACUACAAUGGCGUUAAACAAAGAGAAGCAAGACCGCGAGGUGGAGCAAAACUCAGAAACAACGUCCCAGUUCGGACUGCAGGCUGCAACUCGCCUGCACGAAGUCGGAAUUGCUAGUAAUCGUGGAUCAGCAUGCCACGGUGAAUACGUUCCCGGGCCU
RNAcentral lists this ribosomal RNA (1332 nucleotides) under uncultured bacterium. Its description in RNAcentral is "bacterial SSU rRNA". It matches the Rfam family "Bacterial small subunit ribosomal RNA", at positions 28 to 1381 of the family's 1533-position model. The record is from RNAcentral.